RNAcentral lists this ribosomal RNA (301 nucleotides) under uncultured bacterium. RNAcentral's name for it is "partial 16S ribosomal RNA". It matches the Rfam family "Bacterial small subunit ribosomal RNA", at positions 509 to 808 of the family's 1533-position model. The record is from RNAcentral.
CAGUAGCCGCGGGAAUACGUAGGUGGCAAGCGUUGUCCGGAAUUAUUGGGCGUAAAGGGCUCGCAGGCGGUUUCUUAAGUCUGAUGUGAAAGCCCCCGGCUCAACCGGGGAGGGUCAUUGGAAACUGGGGAACUUGAGUGCAGAAGAGGAGAGUGGAAUUCCACGUGUAGCGGUGAAAUGCGUAGAGAUGUGGAGGAACACCAGUGGCGAAGGCGACUCUCUGGUCUGUAACUGACGCUGAGGAGCGAAAGCGUGGGGAGCGAACAGGAUUAGAUACCCAGUAGUCCCUGUCUCUUAUACC